AGCUUACCUCUUUCCUGGUCUGAACAUUGGUUUCUACAUCUAUAAGAUGGGGUCUUCCAUGUUCUCCAAACACCUGGCAAAGGCUCUUUGGGAUUGCUUUCGAACCUGAGGAGAGAGGAGUGGAGGAGUUCCAGUGGGUUGCCAAGUAGGAAAGGCAGAUAAAACCUGUGAAGGAGGCACCGACAACCACAUGUCUCAUCUAGAGCCCGGAUGACUCUCGGUCUGCUAACCCAACAGACAGAUGACAUGUUGGUGCCCUCCCCAAGGCUCUCUGAAAAUGACUCUUAACCAGACAGCAGCAAUCUGUCAUCGCCGUGCUGCCAUUCUCAGCCAAAAGUAAGAAUUGGUAAGAAGCAAAACCAUUCUGCAGCCAGAAUUCUAAUCCCAGGCUAAGCAGGUGCCCGUUGCCAAGGCGUGCAGGGCACAGAUUCUGACAAAUGAUGACACUGCCCCAGUUGUGGGAACAGAGCUCUUCACAGCCUGCUAGCUUCAACCUCGAGCAGUGGUAAGAAGCUUUCCAUCAAUGCCAGUCCCUCUGAUGAGAGCCCUAAAGCACAGCCCCGGUGGGCCAUUUCCUGCCAAACAGUAAAAGUGCAGAUCUACGUGAAAUGAACUGAAUUGUGUUCGUCAAAAUAUCAUCAGCCACUACGUGAUUCACUCCAUGUCCUCUGCUCCAAUAUGAGACUUUGAGGUUUUAACCAAAAAUUCUAAACUAGGAUUGAUCUUUCUUUUUUCCCAGAGAAACACUAGUGUGUACAUGCACACACUCACCCCUACCCUCAUUCACAUGCACCGCUUCCUGUUCCUCUUUCUCUCUCCUCUUCCUCUGAUGCUUCUUUCCACCUAUUUGCCUCUCUAUUUAUGCAUUCAACUCUUGCAUGCACUCUUUCUCUGUCUACUCUCCAUCCUCCUCUCUUCCCUACUUGUUUUCCUCGCUCCCUCCCUCUCUGUCUCUUGCCCCUUCUUUCUUCCCUCUGUCUUUCUCUGUGCAUUCUUCUCUCUCAGCAUUUCUGCUAACUCCCCUGGUGCCUAGAAUUUCACAGGGAGUUCAGCCCACUCUCCCGUUAUUUUAAGUGCUGGUUUGGCAAGGGUCGCAUCCCUGUGUCCCGAUGUCUCAGCUUAAAGAUUCUCACCAAUGCAUACUAGAUAACUAACAAAACAAAUACAGUGGGGGGGAAAAGUCAUGAAAACCAAAGUGCCUGAAACCUGACUCUUCUGGGUUCAUCAGAAUUGUUGAUGCCAUGAAUUCUUUUAGACUGACAUUUCGCAGCCACAGUGCGACCCGAUCUUGAUUAUGAUAAUGCAGAGCACCAUCAUGCUUCUAAAACGCAAAAGAUAAAAGGACCAGGGUUUUGCUGGGGCUUGGGGGUAUUUUAUUGCACUUUUACAUUCAGAAAUUCUGUAAUUUGGGUGAUUUUUAUUACCCAGGACCUGUACCCACGUAUCCAGAGUAUGAUUAAUGAGAGAAUUAGAUGAACCUAAACACACUUUUCCCUAAUUGUGCUACGUGGUAGAAAAGCACCAAGGAAAAGUCUGCACAAACUCUCUGUGGAGCAUAUUGGAAGAUAAUACAGAAGUAUGUGUAAAUGUCUCAGCAUGUCACAUUGGAUCCUGACCCAGCAGUGUGUGUAAAUGUCAACAGUCAUUGAAUAACUGUUGUAUCUAUCCUUGGGGCUCUGAUGGUAAAAGCUGUUUCUGACAAAUCCUGAUGGUGGUCAGCCCACCUGACCCAUGCCUUUUGGUUCCUUUUCUCUGACAGGAUCAUGUACUCCUGUCUGCUCUGUGCCCUGGCCUCAAUCUUACCAGUCAUCAGUCUCAGCCUGUGAGCUGUGUAUGUUUCCUGUCUCAGUUUCUCUAAUUGUAGAUGCUGCCUCAGUGACUCUGUCCCGCUGCACUUGGAAUGAGAACAUAUUUUGCACUUGUCCCAGUUAUGGUGAGUUAUGGAAUCAUAAAUCUGAAAGGACCUCAAAGUUGUCUGCUCCAGUCUUGCAUUUGACUAAUGAGUAGGGUGACCGGUUUGUCCGGGCAGCCUCAAUUUAUGCCUCUUGUCUUGAUUUAGUUAUUAAUAGCUCCCUCUCUUUCCUCUCGCAUGUGGCCUGAUAUGGACUGUAAAUUAUCCGAUCUCCCUACUAAUGAGAGAAACAAUGUAGCUGAACCCAAGACCUGCACCCAUGUAUCCAGAGUUUUAUUCUUUAAUAAUUGUUACAUUGUACUGCCUCUUUUGCUUUAAAGAUAUGUCUUUGGAGCAAUGCCUCCUAACAAAAAUCUCCAGAGAGUUGUUUCAAAAAACAAAUGCCUUGACUCUAAUAAUCAGGGUAAAAUGCCAACAUGUGGGUCUUAUGGCAAAGUUCCCAAAGCCACCCUGAUGCACACUCUGAUUGAGAGCUCCUGCUUAGAGAAAAGAGGUAAUUGGGAGAAAUUGCUAAAUCCCACAAACCAUGCAUGUAGCAAGAUGUGCUGCUUCAGGGCUAGCAGAUUUGGCCAAUCGCUGCUCCAACAUCUCAUCACGGAUGACUCCAUUUUGUUUUUUGACAUGCCAUGUGACUUUGAAAUAGGCUAAACAGGGAGCUAAAACCCUUAGAAGCGACUUCUUCUGUGGGUCCAACUCUUGAAGACUCUUAGGAAGACUUUCUUGACCCUCUAGAGGUUUCCUUCUGACUUUCAGCUUUCUGUUUCCCACACUCACGCCAUCAGAGGUCAGGGAACUGAAUGAGGACGAGUUUCCCUCAUUCGAUAACAGAUGAAGUUUCCAGCCUAACGGUGGCCUUGAGAUAAGCCAGAAAGCAAUGCUGACCAACCAGCAAUGUGACGCUGAGGACCAGAGAGGUUUAGUCAAAGGUAAGAGUGCUUCUGACAUUUUGCAAGGAAAAAAAAAAAAAAAGAAA
Ictidomys tridecemlineatus (thirteen-lined ground squirrel) is the source of this 2885-nucleotide non-coding RNA. The record is from RefSeq and is a predicted model, not a curated record. Lineage: Eukaryota; Metazoa; Chordata; Mammalia; Rodentia; Sciuridae.